Molecule: ribosomal RNA, 1438 nt
Filed under: uncultured Haloquadratum sp.
Lineage: Archaea; Methanobacteriati; Methanobacteriota; Halobacteria; Halobacteriales; Haloferacaceae
Description: bacterial SSU rRNA
Rfam family: Archaeal small subunit ribosomal RNA
Source: RNAcentral
UUCCGGUUGAUCCUGCCGGAGGCCAUUGCUAUCGGAGUCCGAUUUAGCCAUGCUAGUCGUGCGAGUUCAGACUCGCGGCACCGAGCUCAGUAACACGUGGCCAAACUACCCUACAGAGACGGAUACCCUCGGGAAACUGAGGUUAACCCGUCAUACCGAUCUCAGGCUUGAAUCGCAGAGAUCACAAAACGCCCCGGCGCUGUAGGAUGUGGCUGCGGUUGAUUAGGUAGACGGUGGGGUAACGGCCCACCGUGCCCAUAAUCAGUACAGGUUGUGAGAGCAAGAACCUGGAGACGGAAUCUGAGACAAGAUUCCGGGCCUACGGGGGCAGCAGGCGCGAAACCUUUACACUGCACGCACGUGCGAUAAGGGGACUCCGAGUGCGAGGGCAUAUCGUCCUCGCUUUCGUGUACCGUAGGGUGGUACACCAACAAGGGCUGGGCAAGACCGGUGCCAGCCGCCGCGGUAAUACCGGCAGCCCGAGUGAUGGCCGAUCUUAUUGGGCCUAAAGCGUCCGUAGCUGCUGCGCAAGUCCGUCGGGAAAUCCACUCGCCCAACGAGUGGGCGUCCGACGGAAACUGCACAGCUUGGGACCGGAAGGCUCGAAGGGUACGUUCGGGGUAGGAGUGAAAUCCCAUAAUCCCGCACGGACCACCGAUGGCGAAAGCACUUCGAGAAAACGGAUCCGACAGUGAGGGACGAAAGCUCGGGUCUCAAACCGGAUUAGAUACCCGGGUAGUCCGAGCUGUAAACAAUGCUCGUUAGGUGUGGCACCCACUACGAGUGGGUGCUGUGCCGUAGGGAAGCCGCUAAACGAGCCGCCUGGGAAGUACGUCCGCAAGGAUGAAACUUAAAGGAAUUGGCGGGGGAGCACUACAACCGGAGGAGCCUGCGGUUUAAUUGGACUCAACGCCGGACAUCUCACCAGCCCCGACAUCAGUAAUGACAGUCAUGUUGACGACAUCCACUCGACGCUGAUGAGAGGAGGUGCAUGGCCGCCGUCAGCUCGUACCGUGAGGCAUCCUGUUAAGUCAGGCAACGAGCGAGAUCCACGUUCCUAAUUGCCAGCACCAUCGCACGAUGGGUGGGUACAUUAGGAAGACUGCCAGUGCUAAACUGGAGGAAGGAAUGGGCAACGGUAGGUCAGUAUGCCCCGAAUGGGCUGGGCAACACGCGGGCUACAAUGGUCAGGACAACGGGUUCCAACACUGAGAAGUGACGGUAAUCUCGCAAACCUGGUCGUAGUUCGGAUUGCGGGCUGAAACUCGCCCGCAUGAAGCUGGAUUCGGUAGUAAUCGCGUGUCAGCAGCGCGCGGUGAAUACGUCCCUGCUCCUUGCACACACCGCCCGUCAAAGCACCCGAGUGAGGUCCGGAUGAAGCUGUCACCAGGGUUGAAUCUNGGCUUCGCAAGGGGGCUUAAGUCGUAACAAGGUAACC